CAGAGAGGCGGUAUCUGCUUCGUCUGCCCACUGUGUCGGUUACUAGUAUUAAACCAAAUCGUUGUCCUAUAUUAUCUAUAGCUGCACGUUAUUUUGAAUAAUUAGAAUAAUUAAAAGUUUCCCUUGAAAAUGUCUGAAAAAGAUUAUGCUCCAUUAAGUGCUGCAUGCGUCAGGGCCCUUAGCGAUAAGCUCUAUGAGAAACGAAAAGCGGCUGCCUUAGAAAUCGAAAAGAUGACGAAAGAAUUUUCUACAGUGAAUAACACAAUUCAAAUAAAAAAGCUGUUGCGUGUUCUCAGCCAGGAGUUUGCUGUGUCCCAGAACCCUCACACAAGAAAAGGUGGUUUGAUUGGGCUUGCGGCAAUGGCAAUUGCACUUGGGAAGGAUACCAAUCUUUACAUGGAAGAGCUUGUACGUCCAAUCCUUGCCUGCUUUUUGGACACAGAUUCUAGAGUUAGAUAUUAUGCUUGUGAAUCUUUGUAUAAUGUUGCCAAAGUUGGAAGAGGGGCUUUGCUUCCACAGUUCAAUGAAGUAUUUGAUGUACUGGCUAAGCUAGUGGCAGACCCUGAUCAAAAUGUCAAAAGUGGGGCUGAACUUCUAGAUAGGCUUUUGAAGGACAUUGUGACAGAAUCAGCUUGCUUUGAUGUCACUGCCUUCAUGCCUUUAUUACGUGAACGAAUAUACACCAGAAACACGUUCACAAGACAAUUUUUAAUAUCCUGGCUGUCUGUCUUGCAUUCGGUGCCCCAUUUGGACCUUCUUACCUUUUUACCUGAUAUACUUGAUGGGUUAUUCACUAUCCUAGAAGAUCCAACUAUGGAAAUAAAGAAAAUGUGUGAAAGUUUACUUGGAGAAUUCUUAAGAAGCAUCAUCGAAAAUCCUAAACAUGUAGAUUUCCCGUCCAUGAUCAACAUUCUUAUUCAUCAUAGUCAAUCUUCAGAUGAACUUUCAAGAUACACAGCUGUUACUUGGAUAAGUGAAUUUGCCAUUUUGUCCGGACCGGCUAUUCUUCCUUACACUUCUGGUAUUUUAACAGCUAUUUUGCCUUGCAUGGCCUACGACGACGAUAGCAAAAAAGAUCUACGUGAAACAACUCGAAUUGUCAAUUCAAAUUUAAUGCGAUUGGUUGAUAGUGAUAGUGAGAAAAACAUGGAAUUAGGAUCUGUUGUACUGGUCUUGGAUCAACAUCUCACUCAUAAUAGUGUCCACACAAAAGUGGCAGUCCUUAAGUGGAUUGAACAUUUACUUGGUCAUCUGCCGAACUCGAUCCUGCCCCACACGGAAAAAUUGUUUCCUGUUUUAUUGAAUAAUUUGUCAGAUCCUGCUGACCAAGUUGUAAUCUUGACCGUUCAGGCAUUGGCGCAUAUUGCAAGUAAGAAGGCCUCAAUACUUUUUCCAUCCAUGCUUAAUAAUCGCCAUUUAAAUCUAGAUGCCAAAGCAAAUGAUGCCAUGGGUGAUACUUAUUUUCUAAAAUUCAUGAAAAGCUUGUUAGCGUUAUUCAGUAGUGACCGUGGCAUGCAAGAAGAAAGAUGGGCUUUCAUAAUAAGGCAGUUGUGCGUCCUGUUAAGCGCCGAAGAUAUUUAUCGUACAUUUGCCGAAAUAUUAAUCGAAGAAAAGAAUUGUCGAUUUGCUUCAGUGAUGGUGGAAACCUUAAGCACCCUGUUACUUACGUCUUCUGAGCUGUUCCCGUUAAGGCGAAAAUUGAAGGAUCUUAAUACUGACGAAAGUUGCAAUCUCUUUGUGAUGCUCUACAAAUGCUGGUGUCAUAAUCCGGUAGCUACGGUUGCGUUAUGCCUGUUGACACAAAACUAUCUACAAGCAUCGAACCUCAUUCGUCACUUCGGUAAUCUUGAAGUCACUGUUGAUUUCUUGACGGAGAUUGACCAAUUAGUUCAACUGAUCGAGUCACCAAUUUUCGCAUAUCUUCGCAUUGAGCUAUUGGAACCGGAUAAAAACGGCCCUAUCGUUCACACCUUAUAUGGUUUGCUGAUGCUUCUUCCGCAGAGCGAAGCGUUCCAUACGCUGAGGCGAAGAUUGGAAUGUGUUGCACAUUUACGUCCUUUAGCUGAUAACAGAAACAUCGUACAGGCAGAAGACAAAAGGCCUCAGAUCAAGGCUAUUGACUUCCAAAAGCUAACUGAGCAUUUCGUGCAAGUCCAGGAAAAACACUGCCAGUAUGAACUGGAAACGAGGAUAGCGGGCAUGUCUAACAAUAAAUUCCCUUGGGAAUUGAUACCCGUGUGAAGGUGUUGUCUUCAUCCAGUUAAAAAGCCAGACAUAAAACAAAAUAAUAAUAGUGUUUGAAUAAAUUGUUGUGUGGAGGUGAAGCUUCAAUUUGGGACGUGAUUUGCCAACUGUUGGUUGAACAAACAUCAACGGCCAAGGAUGUUGAAAACCGGACGCAUAUUGACAGCUGGAUCCCUAUUAUAGCACAGUACCGAAAUUGCUUGGCUUCAGGUUUCGUCGAUUCCUUUUGGCUUUACGAAGUAAUUCAAUAAGGUUUGAAAAUCAUUUCUUCCCCUUCCAACUCAUCCCCCCCCCUCCCCCUUUCUUCCCAUCAAUUAUCAAUGCAAAGACCAAGGAGCACACCCACUACGAAGUUCAACUUGACGAGAUCUAGACUCUAGAGGAAGGAAAGCAAAAAUUAAAACUAUGAUCCAAGCGAUCCAAAUCGUAUGACAACGAUUUAUAUAUUUUUCUAUUGCUCUUCUGUUGUAAUAUAGGCAUAUAAUUUUGAGCUUUGCUACAUUGUAGCCUCAGUUUUGGGUGGUUGACAUUGGACCACUAUUUUUUGAUAUUUAUUUGCCGAUUUUGACAAAAGUGGGAAGGCUAUACCCUUCCCACUUUUUCAUUUUUGGCCAAAUUUCAAAUUUUGCUUAAAAUACAUGAAUUCGAUUCAGAAUUGAAUGAAAA
Molecule: RNA transcript, 2910 nt
Organism: Daphnia magna
Lineage: Eukaryota; Metazoa; Arthropoda; Branchiopoda; Diplostraca; Daphniidae
Gene name: protein VAC14 homolog
Exons: 15
Source: RefSeq, a predicted model, not a curated record